GAUGAACGCUUGCUACCGGCUUAACACAUGCAAGUCGCGGGGCAUCAUGGAGGUUGCUUGCAAUUUCUGAUGGCGACCGGCGCACGGGUGAGUAACGCGUAUCCCACCUUCCCAUUACUACCGCAUACCCCGUUGAAAGGCGGCCUAAUUCCGUAUGCAGUCCGAAGCAGUCAUCUUAUUUGGACGAAAGGUAUAUUCUAUCGGUAAUGGAUGGGGAUGCGUCCGAUUAGCCCGCCUGCGGGGUAACGGCCCACCGGGGCAUUGAUCGGUAGGGGUUCUGAGAGGAAGGUCCCCCACACUGGAACUGAGACACGGUCCAGACUCCUACGGGAGGCAGUAGUGAUGAAUUUUGGUCAAUGGGCGUAAGCCUGAACCUGCCUGUAGCGUGCAGGAUGACGGCUCUAGUGGUUGUAAACUGCUUUUAUGCGGGGAUAAAGUUGUGGACUUGUCCCUUUUUGCGGGUACCGCAUGAAUAAGGACCGGCUAAGUCCUUGCCGGCAGCCGCGGGUAUACGGAAGGUCCUGGCGUUAUCCGUAUUUAUUGGGUUUAAAGGGAGCGUAUGCUGUUUUUUGAUUGUGCUGUUAAAUGUACCGGCUCAACCGGUGAUGUGCAGCGCGGACUGAGAAUCUGGGUACUCAGUAGGAUGCGGAAUUCGUGUUUGAUGCGGUUGAUGUGCUUAUAUUUUGCGAAGAAUCGAUUUGUUGGCGUGUUGUUGAUGGUAUCUGACGCUGUGUCUGUGAUGUGCGGUUUCUUAUGGUGAGAUCUCUGGUGUGUCCAAUGCUGUUCCUGUGUGGAUUUGGCUGUGGAUGCCGUCGAUGUCGUGGGGUGUCUGUGGUCCGUUUGUUGUGUCCCUUUGUGUGUGUGUGUUAUUGUGUGUUGUGUUGGUGUGUGUGUGAUUGCUCUGUGUUGGUGUGUUUUUUUGCGUGUUGUG
This 931-nucleotide ribosomal RNA is filed under the name uncultured Enterobacteriaceae bacterium. RNAcentral describes it as "bacterial SSU rRNA". The stretch from base 1 to 768 matches the Rfam family "Bacterial small subunit ribosomal RNA". The record is from RNAcentral. Lineage: Bacteria; Pseudomonadati; Pseudomonadota; Gammaproteobacteria; Enterobacterales; Enterobacteriaceae.